ACUCCUACGGGAGGCAGCAGUGGGGAAUAUUGCACAAUGGGCGCAAGCCUGAUGCAGCCAUGCCGCGUGUGUGAAGAAGGCCUUCGGGUUGUAAAGCACUUUCAGUCGUGAGGAAGGUGGUAGUGUUAAUAGCACUAUCAUUUGACGUUAGCGACAGAAGAAGCACCGGCUAACUCCGUGCCAGCAGCCGCGGUAAUACGGAGGGGUGCAAGCGUUAAUCGGAAUUACUGGGGCGUAAAGCGCAUGCAGGUGGUUUGUUAAGUCAGAUGUGAAAGCCCGGGGCUCAACCUCGGAAUAGCAUUUGAAACUGGCAGACUAGAGUACUGUAGAGGGGGUAGAAGUUUCAGGUGUAGCGGUGAAAUGCGUAGAGAUCUGAUGGAAUACCGGUGGCGAAGGCGGCCCCCUGGACAGAUACUGACAU
RNAcentral lists this ribosomal RNA (421 nucleotides) under uncultured bacterium. RNAcentral's name for it is "bacterial SSU rRNA". It matches the Rfam family "Bacterial small subunit ribosomal RNA", at positions 335 to 746 of the family's 1533-position model. The record is from RNAcentral.